RNAcentral lists this small RNA (387 nucleotides) under Pongo abelii (Sumatran orangutan). Its description in RNAcentral is "retained intron". The record is from RNAcentral. Lineage: Eukaryota; Metazoa; Chordata; Mammalia; Primates; Hominidae.
GGCCCUGAGCCGCCUCUCCCCGCAGCCAUGCGCACGCUGAGCGAGGACACCAUCAGGCUCUUCCUGCAGCAAAUCGCGGGCGCCAUGCGGCUUCUGCACAGCAAGGGCAUCAUCCACCGCGACCUGAAGCCGCAGAACAUCCUGCUGUCCAAUCCCGCCGGCCGCCGCGCCAACCCCAACAGCAUCCGCGUCAAGAUCGGUCAGCCCGCGGGCAGGCAGGCGGGCCCGGCGGGGAGGGGCUCCGGGGCCAGCGCCUGUCCUGACGCGUCUCUCCCGCAGCUGACUUCGGCUUCGCGCGGUACCUCCAGAGCAACAUGAUGGCGGCCACGCUCUGCGGCUCCCCCAUGUACAUGGCCCCCGAGGUCAUCAUGUCCCAGCACUACGACG